RNAcentral lists this ribosomal RNA (460 nucleotides) under uncultured bacterium. RNAcentral describes it as "partial 16S ribosomal RNA". It matches the Rfam family "Bacterial small subunit ribosomal RNA", at positions 338 to 795 of the family's 1533-position model. The record is from RNAcentral.
CCUACGGGAGGCAGCAGUGAGGAAUAUUGGUCAAUGGUCGGGAGGCUGAACCAGCCAAGUCGCGUGAAGGAAGAAGGUACUAAGGAUUGUAAACUUCUUUUAUAAGGGAAUAAAGAUAGGCACGUGUGCCUGUUUGCAUGUACCUUAUGAAUAAGCAUCGGCUAACUCCGUGCCAGCAGCCGCGGUAAUACGGAGGGUGCGAGCGUUAUUCGGAUUUAUUGGGUUUAAAGGGUGCGUAGGCGGGAUGUUAAGUCAGGGGUGAAAGCCCGGGGCUCAACCGGGGAACUGCCUUUGAAACUGGCAGUCUGGAGUGUGGGAGAGGUAGGUGGAAUGCGAGGUGUAGCGGUGAAAUGCGUAGAUAUCGCGAAGAACACCGAUUGCGAAGGCAGCUAUCUGGCACAUCACUGACGCUGAGGCUCGAAAGCGUGGGUAUCAAACAGGAUUAGAUACCCCAGUAGUC